Felis catus (domestic cat) is the source of this 6984-nucleotide long non-coding RNA. RefSeq lists it as uncharacterized. The transcript is spliced from 3 exons. The record is from RefSeq and is a predicted model, not a curated record. Lineage: Eukaryota; Metazoa; Chordata; Mammalia; Carnivora; Felidae.
CUGACCCUGUCUUCCCAGCAGACGGGACAACCUUGCCUGCGGUUUAUGCCUCUGAGCUCCUUCAUGGAUCAAUCCAAUGUUGGUUUCACCUGACACUACAUCUUACUCCCUCCUCUUGUUUCUUUCACUCCCUUACAGAGCUUUCCUGAAUAACACUUCCUUACUGGAUCACAUGCACCUGAAUCCAGUCUUGGGCUCUGUUUCUAGGGCACUUGACCUGAGACAGUUGGUGCCAGCCAGUUUACCUAAAAGCAGACUCCCAGAUGCAAUUUGGGAGGAGGAGCGUUUUCGGUUCAGCUGGCAACGGGGACCCCCGUGUGCAACAUGUCCUGAUGAUCCCUGGGAUGUGGCGGCAGAGCAAUCGCUAAAGCUGUCAGCUGUGGAGAACUGGGACAGGAUAAAGGCAGGAGGGGAGCCACCAACUGCAGCCAUGUUUCUGGCAUUGAGAGAUAUGGGGGAACAGCAAUUAUAAGGACUGUGGAAAUAGGUGGGAGUUGUUGAAUGCCACUGAUGCUGUGACGAGGGAGGAUGGGCUCAGGGCAAUCACCAUUUUAAAGCCAAGUGUGAGAGUCAGAGGGCCUCCCUGGGGGGAUUUAAAGAGCCUCAUCUCCUUUAGGCAGAUGGCAGGAAGAGUUGACGACCAGGCACAGGAUCUCAUUGUUAAGACUUGCAGAACUUUGGAGAAGCCUGCAUUCUCAGCCUAGGUAAGUCACCUAUGCCCAAGUCAGGCCCUUCAUGGGGAAGAAGAGGGACCUUAAGACAUGGGUGAUGCACGUGGGAACCUUGAACUCUGAGGCUCUCCUGAGCGCUCGUGGACCAUAGACGUAAUCCACCCACUCUUACUGGAGUAGAGCCCCUCCACUCCACCCCCCUGCCGCAUUUGAGGACGACGUGGAAACCUCAAAUGACGCAGCUGUCUUGGGAGAAAACGUGUACCUUCCUGAGGAUCUGCUUAUCCUACCCCCCCUGACCACGUGCCUGAUAAUUAGAGUCAAGUUUCAGCAUGACCUGACUGGGAAAGUGCUAGAUCUCCGAGAGGGACUUGGCUAACCCGUACAGGUAGCAACUGAGAGAGAAUGGGUCUGCGUCCUGAGGUUGUUAGAAUAAGGAGGCAGAACAUGAAACUGGAUAGAGAGAGUUUGUUGAUUUGGGAUCACCAGUAAUAUGGGAUUUAAUAGCCUGGCAAGAGCUCUGGAGCCUUGGGAGAUGGGUCCAAUAUAUUGCUGGAGUAGCUCUUGGAAGCUUGGCAAAAGCUGUGGUCCCGAGGAGAGGGAGUGGAGGUUCCAGAACGGCCGUAGCAGACUGUGGAGGAAGGGAUACAAGGCUCAGAGUAGCAGGCAUUCUAGAAUGGGUCUAAGAUACAGGACCAGGAAACCCACCAGCCGAUUAUGUUCUUUGAAGGCCUGGAGGACACCUUAUUUAUUGGGACAAGAAGCAAUGAACUGGUGAGAAGGGCAACAGCAUCACUGAAAAGCUGAGUGUUGGGUGUUCUCUGUAGGCUGGAAGGAUCUAUCACUGGGAAACAGAGCUCUUUGGUAUCAAUGUGGAGGACAGGAUCCCAGACUAUCAAAGACUGGGUAGCACUUAACUCUCAAAAACAAGAUGGGCAUAAUUAUUAUAGGGGGCAGCAAGGUUAGAAAAGGAGACAAGGGGUCCUGACCCAUAGGAAUCUUCAAUGGAGAUGACUAAUAGAACAUGGUAUUCCCAGGAGCAACACAGACGAGAAGCCAACAAAAGUAUUGCUUAACAUACAUCAUUAAAAGCGGUCAGAUAUGAAUUAGCAAAAGGCUGAGGUCAGCUGCCCCAAUGGAAAGACGUGAUGUUCUGUCAAGUUCCUAGACCUGAGCCACUUCUUGGAUCCAGAACCCAGUGACUGAAUAAGAGACCAGAUCCCAAUGAAGAAAGAUUCUUGAACACCAUGGCAAGUGUAAAUCAGGUACCCAAAGUGCCAUCAUGGUCCCCUUGUUAGAGGAAGGACAUCUGAGGGUCAGGUAAUAUAUGGAGUCCUGGCCUAAGUCCUUCUUAAAAUGGGUUCACAGAUUUACUGAACCGUCCCUUGAUUAUUUCCUCCAAUUCCUGACUAUGUAAUUGGAAUGGAUCUGCUUAGCAGUGGACAUUGAUUCUUUGACCUGGAAGGAAAGGUAAGAGUUCUUCUAGUAGGAAAUGCCAAGUAAAAGCUUGUGAAACAUCCAUUCGCAACCACUUUCUCUCCACCAAGUCAAGAUAGUAAAUAAAAAACAGUACUACAAAUCUGAGAUGUUCUCCAAGCGCCACUCUCAGGAUACGAUGGUGGUUCCCAUCAUGUCCCCAUCCUACACUUAAUACAGACUUAACCAGCUUGUAGUCCCAUCUGUGGCUGUCGUGCCUGAGGGAGCAUCUUUACCAGAGCAGAUUUCCACCACUCUCACCCAGGAUACGGAGCUAUGGAAAUGCAAAAUGUGUUCUCCAGAAACACAGAGAAGGAGAAGCAGCAGGCUGUCUUCUCUCGGGUAAUGUAUAUUCAGUCUUGCCCCAAGACUGUUCAUUCUCCCACUCUCUGUAACAGGAUAGCCCAAAGGGGUUUGAACCAUCUAGAUAUGCCACAAAAUGCACACUGAUUUCCUAUAUUAAAGGAUACUGAAGUGGGUCCCUUGGUCCAAGCCGACAUCGUGUGGUCUCCCACGGUGUGAAUCAGAUACUCUAUGGCCUCUGUCAGAAGACCACAUCACCCGUCCUCAGCUCAAGGGACCCACUUCACAGCAAAAGAAGGAUCGCAGUGGUCAUGUGACUUUGCGAUCCACUGCUCUACACAAACUGUGCCAUCCAGAAGAUGUUAACCUCAGAUGGCAGUGGGAUGGGACCCCGAAAAAAUGCAUCAGCUUCACUAGCUUGGGAACGACACCCUGUGAGAUGGGACAGUAUUCUUCAGGAUGUCAUUUACUCCUUAAUGAUGGCAAUGGCCUUUAUGUGAUGCUGUGCUCCCAAUGGGUAGAAGACAUGGGCUUGGAAAUCUAGUAGGAGUGGCCAAGCUCACUGUCACAGGUGGUGACCAAGGGAAUUUGGGCUUCUUGUGCUUGCAACUUUAGGCUCUGUGGGUCUAGAUGUCUUGAUUCUUGGGCAGGAACAAAGAAUUCCACUAACCUUAAAGCUAUGGCUGCUGCAUGGCCACCAGGGCUUCUCAUGCCUGUAGACCAGGAGGCCUGGGAUGAAAUUGACGUAACCGGAAGGGCUGAUCCUAUUUAAUCAGGACAUGAGGAAUAUGCGUGGCACUGAGGUGGCCCACUAAGACACCUGUGGUGUUCCCCUACAUGUAGCCUGAGAAGACCAUGGAAACCAGGCACUCAGUCGUGGAAGGACGAAGGUCUAGGUCAUCCCAACCCGCAGAAGUGCUAGUUGAGCAUGAAGGGAAUCUAGAAUGGGUGGCAAGGAAGGAGGGAGACAGUGAGUAUCGGCUACCACCUUUGGGACCAAUUGUGGCAGCCAGAGGCUGCGUUUGUCUCACGAAUCUCCUUUUGUAAAUCUCCCUAGGAAUUGUGGCCCGGGAGAAUCCCAGAAAGCCUGUGCGUGCAUGGAAUGAACUUAAUGUAAGGGGCAGAUGGGCUGGGUCAGCUUCAUGGGCGUGCAAACAUGUGUACUUACAGAGGGUCCCACACUCAGAAGGGACCCCAUGUUUGGCUUAAUGCUCUGCCAUCACCAUCUUGAGAUAAUUAAUAAUUUUAUGUUUGAAAUUCUUUUGUGAGUGAAGUCUCUUGGGACAAUGGCGUGUGCACAUGAGCAGAAGAGACAUGCCCCCUAUGUGUGUGCUUCCUUGCCCCCACUUGCAAAUAGCGCACAUGAUGCCGGUGAACACAGCAUCCCAGUGGGCCUACUAUGCGCACGUGUUCAGUGAAACUAAGAGUGCAUAUAAGGUAAGUGGGUUAUGUUGAUGCCUGAGUAAGCAGGGUGCCGACAGCUCCAAGAAGCCAGGCUUUUUCUGUUCCAACCAGAACUUGCUUUGAAAGCAGAAAGAAGGAAAGGCAUUCUGAGAAAGACGUUAUUCAUGCUGCUUCCCUGUAUUAGCCAGUUGCAUACACCAAAGGAUGACCAGAAGGAAAGAAAGAUAGGGCGACUCCUGGUUGUCUUUCUUGCAGCUCUUCCUUACUGGUUAGUAUGCUGAAGGUAGGGAGUGUUGAUAGGACACAUACUGAGGAGUGAAACAGAAACAGUUGUGUUCGUUUUGCACAUUCCAUUGUUCUGGGAAGGCCAGAAUACAUAUGCAUUUAUAACUACAAAAUACAACCCGUGUAAUUUCAGUGAUUUGACAUGAGCCAAACGCCCUUAUGUUUGCAGUGAAAAUUGCACGAUCUAAAGAUGCAUGGUACCAUUCGUGCCAGUAAUUUAUAUUUUUAAUAUUUCUUUACUUCAAACGACAUUAGAUGGCAAAUAAAAGAACACCGGGAAGUCAAGAGACUAUGGAAGAAAGUAAGAUGCUAUAUGUUUCAGUGCCUUCGAUGUUCUUUUUCCCUAAGUUUUGAACAAAGGGCCUGGCGUGUGGGGCUGAGCAUGCAAAGAGCGGAUGCCAGCCCUCGCUGUGAGUGCACUGCCGGGUCCCCUCGGCUGGGCCACACUCUCCAGCCACCAGCUGCUGUGACACAGCUCCCCUCUCUUGAGAACUGCCCUUGGAUCGGAGUCACCUCACCUGGGAGCUUGCUGGCAUCUGCCCUGGGAGCCCACAACCAUGACAGGCUGAUGGACACAACAGGCCUGCCCUUGACCCUCAAUGGGGGACAAUUCUGUUGUGCCAUUUAUGCUUCCAACCUUCGCAGGGGAUCAGGCCAAGGCUACAUCUAUCCCAGACUUCAUCCUUGCCUCACUUUCCCCUCCCGAGCCUCCUUCCCUCCCUCCCCUACAGACUUCUCCUGAUGAGUGUUCCUUCCCCUCCGUAAGGCACAUGCACCCACGUCUCUGUUGCAAUGUCUGUUUCCAGGGAACCCAUACACAUUUAUACAAACCGAAACAAAGUUUUCACCAAGAAAAUAUGCCCUUGUUUUGUAUUCCUCUGUUGUACUAAGCUGGGCCCGGCCAAUUGAUUUCAUAACCUACUUACUAACAGGCAGGACCCGCAGUUUGAAGAUUACGGAUCUGUGUGACCCCAGAGAUGGAAACAAUGAACUAUGUCCAGAUGUUGGAGUAGGAAGAUAAAUCUGCAUUGGGUUGUAAGGGAUGAGUAGAAGUUUUACAAAUCAAGAAAUAAUACAGAGGUGGUCAUUUCAGACAAGAGUCAGGAGAGUAGUUUGUGGAUAUUUAGAGCUGUGUUUCUCAAAGAACGGUCAUGGACCACCUGUAUCAGAAUCACUUUGGGGUGCGUGGCAAACAUGCAGAUUUCUUGACCAGUCCCAGACUCUCUGAUUUGGAUCUUGAGGGUAAGAACCUGGAACCUGCUUUCUAAAUGAGCCCCCUAGUCAGUACUUCUGCACAGUAAAAUUUGAGGUUCGCUUAUCUGUUCCAUAGAGAGCCAGGAGAUGCGAGUAGUGACUCAUUCCCCACUCUUCUCUUUCAGAUGGACUCAGAAUGAGAAGCCCAGAGAGUCAGAGAAGGCUUCAUGGGCAUGUGGUGUGGGCACAGGAACAGGUAGACGAAAGAGCAAGGCCGCCAUGACUGGUGUGCAUGGACCUGGGGACGAGGAACACCAGCCAGGAAGCCUUCUCUGAUUCUCUCACCUAGAGGCAGGACAGACGACGGCCAUGGAGAAGUGGUUUACCUCGCUCUGCUCGUCAGCACGUACCCUCUGCUUCUGAUUUCUCUUCAGUAUUAUCGUGCCUUUGUCAACUAUGAAAUCACUCCCUUGUUGCUGGAAGUACACAUCACACGUAGGCAAAGCUGUUGCUGCUAUCUUAAAAAGAAAAGAAAUUACAGCGUCAGUAACCCACAGAAGUUCCAAUUGUACCACAGUGCAAGUGUUUUGGGUUAUCGGAUAACUUAAAAGGUGCCCUACUUGUUCGUCAAGAGCAUGUAGUCCUCGGGUCAGCGGAGGCCCGCUUCAGGAACUCGCUUAUUUUAGCGAUUCUCAGCCACACUCUCUGUCCAGCUGCCUGACCUCUGCGAUGAGGAACCUCAGACAGGCCACGCUGGAUUAUGUCCAUGCGUCCAACACAAAAUUAGAAACCAUUUUAUUGAUUUUAUGCAGAAAGCCUAUUAUGGAAUUAGCUUUAUACUACACUGUAUCAAAUUCCACACUAUGUUAAAUCCAAUCAAUGUUAAGUUUUGUGACCACAGGUAGUUUCUAUAAGAAAACAAACCAGUGCUUCCCAAGUUGCCUAUGAAUCACUGGGGGAUCCUGUUAACAUGUAGACUUGAUUCAGUAGGUCUGGGGCAGGACCUGAGACUCUAUAAGUCCAGUGAACUCAUAGGUGAUGCAGCCUUGCUGGUCCAUAGACCACAUCUGAGUAGCAAGGAUCUUGCCAUAGACCGAAUGUUUGUGUCCCUGCAAAAUCCACAUAGAGAAGGCUUAUCCCCACAGUGGUGGUGAUUAAAGGUGGGGCCUUUCCGGGGUGAUUGGGUCAUGAGCGCACACCCCAGGAAUGGGAUCAGUGCCCUCAUGAAAGAGCUCCUUUGCCCCUCUGCCGUGUUAGGACUCAGUGAGAAGAUGGCCAUCUACGAACCAGGAAGCAGGCUUUCUCCAGACAUGAAUCUGCUGGUGCCUUGAUCUUGGACUUCCCGGCUUCUAGGACUGUGAGAAAUAAAUUUGUUGUUUAUAUAACCACCUAGUCCGUGGUGCUUUUGUUACAGCAGCCUGAAAAAAUUAAGAUACACACAUACCCACACACAUCUUUUGAAGACCCGCCAAGAAAGUUAAUUGUCCUUUUUCUUCAUUCUCCGAUUUGAGUAUUCAAAGAGUUACUCCUAAGUCAUGGUCUUGGGUUCACAUCCUUUUUGUUCACAUCAUCUCCAUACCUUCUCCUCUCUCUGCUACCUCUUCACUUUUUCCUUAUUCCUUCCUGAUGCCUGCCAGGACUACAGCAGAAA